RNAcentral lists this small nuclear RNA (130 nucleotides) under Amazona collaria (yellow-billed parrot). RNAcentral describes it as "U2 spliceosomal RNA (ENSACOG00000009997.1)". It matches the Rfam family "U2 spliceosomal RNA", at positions 1 to 131 of the family's 192-position model. Rfam says of the family: U2 is a small nuclear RNA (snRNA) component of the spliceosome (involved in pre-mRNA splicing). The record is from Rfam by way of RNAcentral. Lineage: Eukaryota; Metazoa; Chordata; Aves; Psittaciformes; Psittacidae.
AUCGCUUCUCGGCCUUUUGGCUAAGAUCAAGUGUAGUAUCUGUUCUUAUCAGUUUAAUAUCUGAUACGUCCUCGAUGAGAGGACUUUAUAUUAAACGUAUUUUUGUCGGCUGGAGUCGGCGCCGGAGCUC